RNAcentral lists this non-coding RNA (106 nucleotides) under Paenibacillus mucilaginosus. RNAcentral describes it as "TPP sequence". It matches the Rfam family "TPP riboswitch aptamer (THI element)". Rfam says of the family: Vitamin B(1) in its active form thiamin pyrophosphate (TPP) is an essential coenzyme that is synthesised by coupling of pyrimidine and thiazole moieties in bacteria. The previously detected thiamin-regulatory element, thi box was extended, resulting in a new, highly conserved RNA secondary structure, the THI element, which is widely distributed in eubacteria and also occurs in some archaea. Lineage: Bacteria; Bacillati; Bacillota; Bacilli; Caryophanales; Paenibacillaceae. The record is from RNAcentral. RNAcentral also lists the same sequence under 1 other name.
AAAUGUCACUAGGGGAGCCGCACAGGCUGAGAUUGGACCAAUAGGUCCUAAACCCUCUGAACCUGAUCUGGAUGAUACCAGCGUAGGGAAGUGGAGAGCGUAGCAC